RNAcentral lists this ribosomal RNA (657 nucleotides) under uncultured bacterium. RNAcentral describes it as "bacterial SSU rRNA". It matches the Rfam family "Bacterial small subunit ribosomal RNA", at positions 232 to 885 of the family's 1533-position model. The record is from RNAcentral.
CGCGGCCUAUCAGCUUGUUGGUGAGGUAAUGGCUCACCAAGGCGACGACGGGUAGCCGGCCUGAGAGGGCGACCGGCCACACUGGGACUGAGAUACGGCCCAGACUCCUACGGGAGGCAGCAGUGGGGAAUAUUGCACAAUGGGCGAAAGCCUGAUGCAGCGACGCCGCGUGAGGGAUGGAGGCCUUCGGGUUGUAAACCUCUUUCAGCAGGGAAGAAGUGGCCGAGUUUUCUUGGUUGUGACGGUACCUGCAGAAGAAGCGCCGGCUAACUGCGUGCCAGCAGCCGCGGUAAUACGUAGGGCGCAAGCGUUGUCCGGAAUUAUUGGGCGUAAAGAGCUCGUAGGCGGUUUGUCGCGUCUGCUGUGAAAACUCGAGGCUCAACCUCGGGCUUGCAGUGGGUACGGGCAGACUAGAGUGCGGUAGGGGAGACUGGAAUUCCUGGUGUAGCGGUGGAAUGCGCAGAUAUCAGGAGGAACACCGAUGGCGAAGGCAGGUCUCUGGGCCGCAACUGACGCUGAGGAGCGAAAGCAUGGGGAGCGAACAGGAUUAGAUACCCUGGUAGUCCAUGCCGUAAACGUUGGGCACUAGGUGUGGGGCUCAUUCCACGAGUUCCGUGCCGCAGCUAACGCAUUAAGUGCCCCGCCUGGGGAGUACGG